RNAcentral lists this ribosomal RNA (460 nucleotides) under uncultured bacterium. Its description in RNAcentral is "bacterial SSU rRNA". It matches the Rfam family "Bacterial small subunit ribosomal RNA", at positions 977 to 1434 of the family's 1533-position model. RNAcentral also lists the same sequence under 1 other name. The record is from RNAcentral.
GGGCUUGACAUCCCACGAACCUGCCCGAAAGGGUAGGGUGCCCGCAAGGGAGCGUGGAGACAGGUGGUACAUGGCUGUCGUCAGCUCGUGUCGUGAGAUGUUGGGUUAAGUCCCGCAACGAGCGCAACCCUCACCCCUUGUUGCCACCGGGUCAUGCCGAGCACUCUAGGGGAACUGCCAGCGUCAAGCUGGAGGAAGGCGGGGAUGACGUCAAGUCAUCAUGCCCCUUACGCCCUGGGCAACACACGUGCUACAAUGGUCGGUACAAAGGGAUGCCAGCCCGCGAGGGGGAGCCAAUCCCACAAAACCGGUCUUAGUUCGGAUUGCAGUCUGCAACUCGACUGCAUGAAGGAGGAAUCGCUAGUAAUCGCGCAUCAGCACGGCGCGGUGAAUACGUUCCCGGGCCUUGUACACACCGCCCGUCACACCACGAAAGCCGGCUGUACUCGAAGUCGCUGAG